Non-coding RNA from Pelobates cultripes (western spadefoot toad), 286 nucleotides. Lineage: Eukaryota; Metazoa; Chordata; Amphibia; Anura; Pelobatidae. The record is from the annotation of a GenBank genome assembly.
GCCCCACACUCCAUAGCCAGUAAAGCUAUUCCUGAACUUAAAUGUGACCCUUCGUGAGCUUUGGUGAGAGCAGUACAUUCUACUGCAAUCGUCCAUGGCGAUGAAUGAGACUAAAUAAAUUGUAAAACUAUUAAACCCAGUGUUUAAUAUUUGCUGAAGUGCUUUACGUAUGAAAUGUGUCCUAUUUUUUCAUUUUAUGAAAAGUACUAGUUUUAAUAGAAAUUAGCACUUUUAUAAAUUAAAAUGAUUACUCCCCCUGGCUGUCGAUCAGACAAGAGGUCCUGUU